Molecule: ribosomal RNA, 301 nt
Filed under: uncultured bacterium
Lineage: Bacteria
Description: partial 16S ribosomal RNA
Rfam family: Bacterial small subunit ribosomal RNA
Source: RNAcentral
CAGCCGCCGCGGUAAUACGAAGGGUGCAGGCGUUAAUCGGAAUUACUGGGCGUAGAGCGUGCGUAGGCGGUUUGUUAAGUCUGUUGUGAAAUCCCCGGGCUCAACCUGGGAAUGGCAAUGGAUACUGGCAAGCUAGAGUGUGUCAGAGGAUGGUGGAAUUCCCGGUGUAGCGGUGAAAUGCGUAGAGAUCGGGAGGAACAUCAGUGGCGAAGGCGGCCAUCUGGGACAACACUGACGCUGAGGCACGAAAGCGUGGGGAGCAAACAGGAUUAGAUACCCGUGUAGUCCCUGUCUCUUAUAC